Molecule: ribosomal RNA, 531 nt
Filed under: Triticum aestivum (bread wheat)
Lineage: Eukaryota; Viridiplantae; Streptophyta; Magnoliopsida; Poales; Poaceae
Description: partial small subunit ribosomal RNA
Source: RNAcentral
UCUUAUACAAGGCAUGAAGAAGAUGUGCGGCAAGCACGGGAGUUCCUCUCAAAGUUAGGUGAUCUAAGCCAAACUCUGAUUUUUGCCAAAAUUGAGAAUGUAGAGGGCUUGAACCAUUUUGAUGAGAUCCUGGAAGAAGCAGAGAAGUCUGCUCUGCACAAGUGCAACAAGGCUGGAAAGCCUGUUGUUGUUACUCGUGUUGUGGACAGUAUGACGGACAACCUAAGGCCUUCUCGUGUGGAGGCAACUGAUGUGGCACAUGCAGUGUUGGACGGUAGUGAUGCCAUUCUCCUUAGUGCUGAGACUCUCCGUGGGUUGUAUCCAGUUGAGACUAUGUCAACAGUAGGCAGAAUUUGUGCUGAGGCUGAGGUCUUCAACCAGGAUUUGUACUUCAAGCGAACCAUGAAAUACGUGGGAGAACCCAUGACCCACUUGGAGUCUAUUGCUUCCUCUGCAGCAAGACAAUCACUCAUAGUUAGAGGCCUCUUUCCCAUGCUUGCUGAUCCACGUCACCCGACAUCUUUGUUCUGA